This 292-nucleotide ribosomal RNA is filed under the name uncultured bacterium. Its description in RNAcentral is "partial 16S ribosomal RNA". The record is from RNAcentral.
GGACUACCAGGGUAUCUAAUCCCAUUCGCUACCCACGCUUUCGUGUUUCAGUGUCAGGAGUGGCCCAAUGUGCUGCCUUCGCUUUCGGUGUUCCCCAUGAUAUCAACGGAUUUCACCCCUACUCCAUGAGUUCCACACAUCCCUGCCAUCCUCUAGUCGUGCCGUUUCAAUCGCACAUCCGGGGUUAAGCCCCGGGUUUUAACAAUUGACUAACACAACCACCUACACACCCUUUACGCCCAAUGAUUCCGGAUAACGCUCGGGGCACUCGUAUUACCGCGGCUGCUGGCAC